UAUGGGCUACACUGAUGAUGGUAACAUUAAAGCGGCAAGAGACAGACACGAGGAGAAGAGUAAACAGCGAGACUACAUUACAGUACAAAACGAGAAAGACAUAUGUCAAUCAAUAAAAACAUAUGAACGGGAUGGUUAGCAAUGUGUGUGCAAAAAUUAUUUGUUUUAUAAAAUGUGGGUGCAAAAGAAAAUCAUCCUACAAGUGAAUUUUUGAUGUGCAAAAGAAAAUUAUUUUGGCGACAUAUCGAUAUUCUGACUAUGGUACUCCAAAGGGGUGCUAAGUGAAUGCAAUACAAGUUUUUGUUACCCUUCAAAAUUUGUGAAUUUUUUAUUGCUUUUGCGGUAGUUUGAUUGUUGGGAAUCUAGACGGGCAUGUAUGUAUAAAUUUUUAUAAGGUUUCAAUUAUAUUCGGCCCAAAUUAACGUGCCACUAUAAUGUGCUAAUUAUAAUAUCCAUUAUUUUUAAGUUAAUUUCGUCUUAUUCAUAAUGAUUGAUAAAAAUAUAUAUGCAGGGAAAUGAAAAAUAUUCAUGGUUCAGAUUUCAUAUUUGGCCUUCUUAAACAAUGUCGUUGAUGGAAUUUUCAUUUUCUAUUCAAGAGUUUUUAUUCUUUGA
Trifolium pratense (red clover) is the source of this 612-nucleotide long non-coding RNA. RefSeq lists it as uncharacterized. The record is from RefSeq and is a predicted model, not a curated record. NCBI's taxonomy places the organism in Eukaryota, Viridiplantae, Streptophyta, Magnoliopsida, Fabales, Fabaceae. The transcript is spliced from 2 exons.